This 379-nucleotide ribosomal RNA is filed under the name Pinnularia cf. isselana. RNAcentral's name for it is "eukaryotic LSU rRNA". It matches the Rfam family "Eukaryotic large subunit ribosomal RNA", at positions 85 to 481 of the family's 3401-position model. The record is from RNAcentral. Lineage: Eukaryota; Bacillariophyta; Bacillariophyceae; Sellaphorales; Pinnulariaceae.
AAGGGCGACUGAAGCGUCAAUAGCUCAUCAUGUGAAUCUGCAGCGCGGAAUUGUGAUCUGGAGACACUUGCAUCCAGGCCAAGUUCCUUGGAAGUGGACAGCUCAGAGGGUGAAACUCCCAUGUGCCUGGCUUUGUCAAUGAGUCGAGUUGUUUGGGAUUGCAGCUCAAAGCAGAUGGUAAAUUCCAUCGAAAGCUAAAAACUAGUGGGAGACCGAUAGUGAACAAGUACCGUGAGGGAAAGAUGCAAAGAACUUUGAAAAGAGAGUUAAAGAGUACCUGAAAUUGCUGAAAAGGAAGCGAAGGAAUCCAGUGCCGUUGCUCCAUACUUCCCUGCUCGCUUGCGGAUGGGGCGCUGUGGCCAACAUAGUCUUGUUCAAU